This 195-nucleotide ribosomal RNA is filed under the name uncultured Flavobacteriales bacterium. Its description in RNAcentral is "partial 16S ribosomal RNA". It matches the Rfam family "Bacterial small subunit ribosomal RNA", at positions 138 to 334 of the family's 1533-position model. The record is from RNAcentral. Lineage: Bacteria; Pseudomonadati; Bacteroidota; Flavobacteriia; Flavobacteriales.
GGGGGAUAGCCUUUCGAAAGGAAGAUUAAUACUCCAUAACAUAUUGAACGGCAUCGUUUAAUAUUGAAGGCUCCGGCGGAUAGAGAUGGGCACGCGCAAGAUUAGCUAGUUGGUGAGGUAACGGCUCACCAAGGCGAUGAUCUUUAGGGGGCCUGAGAGGGUGAUCCCCCACACUGGUACUGAGACACGGACCAG